GUAACCCCUGACUGCAGCUCGCAGAUCGAGGAGGGGCUUACAUUUUCCCUAAAUGUGGGUUUGCUUAAACGUUUAAGCAGGAAGCGGGAGAACGUAGUUGCGUCUGAGUCCAUAAUACUGCGCGCUUUUCUGCCUAGAGGUAAGUUGCCGCUCUCUGUUCGUGUACAUUAUAAACUAAUGUAUGGACAGACCAACAAGUUGAUCAUUAAAAUAUUCAUGCAAGUAACAUGCAUAGGCCUCAUGUUUAUGUCAUGAGGUCGUUUGAAUAAUAGCAUUUAGGCAGUGUUUUUCAGCUUUUUUAACCCUUUCGUGCAUGGCGUCAACAUAUGAAGACGAUUAAAUAAACUCCAAUAUUUUGGGCUUAUGGUAAUGUUCUCUAAACCACAUUGGUAAAAUAUGUUUCGUGAUGUUUCAGAUUUAAAUUUUGCUUUUCCCCUCCAGAUUUGGCUGUUUAUCUACAUCCUAUCACAGCUCGCACACGCACACUGCACCACGACAUUGCACCACGUAACACACACAUUACAAAACCAACAGUUCUUUUAAGAACUCCUGUCUGUCUGUCUGUCUGUCUGUCUGUCUGUCUGUCUGUCUGUCCGUCCGUGUCCUGAUUUUCUCUGGUCAGGUAGGUUCACUGCAAUGCUUAAGGUUUAUAAAAACAGUAACUAAUGCGCUAUAUUUGUGUGUGUUUCUACCCUCGAGUAUGUCUGAGAGAAAAAAAAGAAGGUAAUCAAUGAAUCAUUCACUUGAAUUAGAGUAUGAUAAGGCAUAAUAACAGGAUAUCAACAUGUAAUGCAUGGCCUUACUCUUUGCAUAGUGCAUUACAUUUUGAUAUUGGAAUUCUGCGUUGACAAUGAUCAAAAUAAAUGUAAAGAAAUACAUUCAUUUAUCCAUUCUUUGUGUCCGUUUGUUACCCACAGCUACUUUGAUUGACCUUGUGUUGCCUUCGUACAUGUGCGCGCGUGUGUGUGUGUGUGUGUGUAUGUGCGUGACAGGUGUCCCACCGCGGUACCCCCCGCUACAUGGAGCCCAACAUCCUGGGCUGUAGGCCUCUCAUGCUCUCCAAGCUCAGGCUGAUAUACUUCCUCUUCCUGAGGCUAUCCCUGAAGACGUCAAUGUGGUAAAAAAGAUCAAAAUACACAUUAGUAUUCUUUUGGAUGGUGAUACACCAAACAUUAAUAACAUCACCAACAGUGAACUGUUCCACUGUCCCUUCUGUAAAUACGUGGGUGCAAAAUAUAAGGUUGACAACCAUGUAAAAGGCCAUUCGUCAGUGAAACACAAAGAGUUCACAAUAAUCAAGUGUGGAUUAAGUUGUCGGACGGCUACACAUUUCCAUUGUUGCUAUUGUGCAGCGACACUUAGAAAUCGAUUGCAAUUGGUAAGGCACCUACAAAUACACCAGGAGGAGGUGCAAGCUGCAGCCCCUUCAUAGCACUUUGUGGCCUCCGCUCAGCUCCCUGUGGCCCCCACUCAGCUCCCUGUGGCCCCCACUCAGCUCCCUGUGGCCCCCUCUCAGCUCCCUGUGGCCCCCACUCAGCUCCCAUUGGCUCCUGCAGAAUGUUCCACGGCCACUAAAGCAUCAAGAAAACAUGCUGCAAAUUAGAGAUGGUGGUGUCUCGCUCUCCUGCAGAACUUCCCUUAGCCGUCUGAAGAAGACAGAUUGCAGGACAGAAAACGGCGACGAGUGCAAGGAGGGCUACAGACGCUGGGAAAUUGACAGAACUGGAAACAGGGAACAGGGUUGCUUGUUAUGGGCCAGAAAAAUACCCUGAUACUUGCCAUUGUUAAACAUUUAUGGAAGCUUAAGGAAUUAUUUGGUUAGGCUAAAAACAUUUUUUUUUUUUUUUUUU
Molecule: long non-coding RNA, 1850 nt
Organism: Gadus morhua (Atlantic cod)
Lineage: Eukaryota; Metazoa; Chordata; Actinopteri; Gadiformes; Gadidae
Exons: 6
Source: RefSeq, a predicted model, not a curated record